UAAAGGUCAUCUGCCUUCAGCCGUGCUGAUUGAAGGAAGUGCGAGUUGUACAGAAAACUUGCUACCCUGUCAUGAGGAUGCCCAACAAAUAUGUCAGUGGGGCACCUUGCUCUCCCUCAGUCUGAAUGGCUCAGGGAGCCUCUUCAGGCUGGUGUCGCACUGCUGCUGCAAGGAACAUCCAAUUCGUGGUGCCGCCCUUCUCU
Long non-coding RNA from Nothoprocta perdicaria, 203 nucleotides. RefSeq lists it as uncharacterized. The transcript has 2 exons. The record is from RefSeq and is a predicted model, not a curated record. NCBI's taxonomy places the organism in Eukaryota, Metazoa, Chordata, Aves, Tinamiformes, Tinamidae.